Molecule: ribosomal RNA, 468 nt
Filed under: uncultured bacterium
Lineage: Bacteria
Description: partial 16S ribosomal RNA
Rfam family: Bacterial small subunit ribosomal RNA
Source: RNAcentral
GACGAACGCUGGCGGCGUGCCUAACACAUGCAAGUCGAACGGAAAGGCCCUGCUUCUGUGGGGUGCUCGAGUGGCGAACGGACGAGUAACAAGUGAGUAACCUGCUCUUGACUUUGGGAUAACUUCAGGAGACUGGGGUUACUACCGGAUAGGAGCUCCUGCUGCAUGGAGGGGGUUGGCAUGUUUCGGCGGUUGGGGAUGGGCUCGCGGCUUAUCAGCUUGUUGGUGGGGUAGUGGCGUACCAAGGCUCUGACGGGUCGGCGGCCUGGGAGGGUGACCGGCGACAUGGGGCCUACGAGACGGCCCAGACUCCUACGGGGGGCAGCAGGGGGGAAUAUUGCACAAUGGGCGGGAGCCUGAGGCAGCAACGCCGCGUGCGGGAUGACGGCCUUCGGGUGGGAAACCGCGUUCGCCUGUGACGAAGCGUGAGUGACGGUAAUGGGUAAAGAAGCACCGGCUAACUACGUG